This 468-nucleotide ribosomal RNA is filed under the name uncultured Acidovorax sp. RNAcentral describes it as "bacterial SSU rRNA". It matches the Rfam family "Bacterial small subunit ribosomal RNA", at positions 916 to 1381 of the family's 1533-position model. Lineage: Bacteria; Pseudomonadati; Pseudomonadota; Betaproteobacteria; Burkholderiales; Comamonadaceae. The record is from RNAcentral.
GACGGGACCCGCACAAGCGGUGGAUGAUGUGGUUUAAUUCGAUGCAACGCGAAAACCUUACCCACCUUUGACAUGUACGGAAUCCUUUAGAGAUAGAGGAGUGCUCGAAAGAGAACCGUAACACAGGUGCUGCAUGGCUGUCGUCAGCUCGUGUCGUGAGAUGUUGGGUUAAGUCCCGCAACGAGCGCAACCCUUGUCAUUAGUUGCUACAUUCAGUUGGGCACUCUAAUGAGACUGCCGGUGACAAACCGGAGGAAGGUGGGGAUGACGUCAAGUCCUCAUGGCCCUUAUAGGUGGGGCUACACACGUCAUACAAUGGAUGGUACAAAGGGUCGCCAACCCGCGAGGGGGAGCCAAUCCCAUAAAGCCAUUCGUAGUCCGGAUCGCAGUCUGCAACUCGACUGCGUGAAGUCGGAAUCGCUAGUAAUCGUGGAUCAGAAUGUCACGGUGAAUACGUUCCCGGGCCUU